RNAcentral lists this microRNA precursor (84 nucleotides) under Bombyx mori (domestic silkworm). RNAcentral describes it as "mir-2807 microRNA precursor family". It matches the Rfam family "mir-2807 microRNA precursor family". Lineage: Eukaryota; Metazoa; Arthropoda; Insecta; Lepidoptera; Bombycidae. The record is from Rfam by way of RNAcentral.
UGAACUCAAACUUGUAUGCAGUUGGAACAGCGCCCCUAGCGGCAAACGUAGACAAACGUUCCGACUCCAUACAAAUUUGAGUUA